RNAcentral lists this long non-coding RNA (1019 nucleotides) under Parus major (Great Tit). Its description in RNAcentral is "lncRNA (ENSPMJG00000003030.1)". Lineage: Eukaryota; Metazoa; Chordata; Aves; Passeriformes; Paridae. The record is from RNAcentral.
CUUGCUUUUACUCUUGGAUCCCUUGAACCACAGGGUUUGUUCUAGCAGGGGAAUUUGUGCAGCUUUGUGACAGAGGAGAACUUCCCAGGCUAUUCUGUGCUUGCUGUAGGGAAGGUUGGGUUGCUUUGCAUAAAUUUGCAUAAAUUCCAAGGCAGAACGCUUGCUUUGGGAUGUCAGGGCAUGGUUGCCACAUUGUUGUGGUGACAUCAGAAGAUUGCCUUGGUGCACGGAAGGCUGUAGAAGAAUGGCUAGAGAGCAAAGGUCAUGUUCCCAUGCAGCAGUUAGCUGGGAAAGAAUUAGACAAUAGAGUACAGUCAGUGUGAGAUGUUGCAAAGUCAGGAAGACCUCAGUGAUAACUGUUAACUGAGAACAGGACGCUGUGAUCAGAAGAAUGUGAAUUCAGCAUAGAUGAGCGAUCACAGGAAUGUAGAACUAGGUGGAGUUGACCUUAAAUGAAAUAUCCAAUAAUGAGCUUCCUUUUGCACUAUGUAUGAGCCUGAUUAUUGAUAGUAUAUAAGUGGUUUUAGCGUUACCAAUAAAUGAGACUUGCUGAUUAUUCAUAUUGAGUUCUGCAUUUCUCCCGCCGAACUCGACAAAUGGCGCCCGAACAGCAGGGACCUUUGGGACAUUUGGGACUUCUGGGACCCGAGGGACCCUUGGAACCUUUGGAACCCUCAGAACCUUUGGAACCCUCAGAACCUUUGGGACCUUAAAAAGGAGUCGGCCAAGGGAGUUGGUGACAGGGGAUGGGUCCUUUGCAGCAAGGACAGAGAAAAGCAACAGCUGUGCUGUGUUCCAGGCGACCUCACAGGAGAGUCCUGGUCAAAAAGCAACGUUGCCACACCCAGACGACCUUAUAGAAGAGUCCUGCCGUAACGUGCUGCCGAAACCUUGUAGGGGCUGCAACAGCGCUGACGGGCCUGUCUGGGUGCCGAGCCGAUGGACUAAACCUGCUGAUCCCAGUGAUUUACCUUCAGCUGAUCCAGAAAAUUUAGCAGAUACUUCUCGCUCUCUACCAU